This 253-nucleotide ribosomal RNA is filed under the name uncultured bacterium. RNAcentral's name for it is "partial 16S ribosomal RNA". It matches the Rfam family "Bacterial small subunit ribosomal RNA", at positions 524 to 776 of the family's 1533-position model. The record is from RNAcentral.
UACAGAGGUGGCAAGCGUUGUUCGGAUUUACUGGGCGUAAAGGGUGUGUAGGCGGUCCCAUAUGUCGGAUGUGAAAUCCCACGGCCUAACCGUGGAAUGGCAUCCGAAACUGUGGGGCUAGAGUGCAGGAGGGGAGAGCGGAAUUCUUGGUGUAGCGGUGAAAUGCGUUGAUAUCAAGAGGAACACCGGUGGCGAAGGCGGCUCUCUGGAAUGCUACUGACGCUCAUACACGAAAGUUGGGGGAGCAAACAGA